CAGGAAGGCAGCAGGCGCGCAAAUUACCCAAUCCUAAUUCAGGGAGGUAGUGACAAUAUAUAACGAUACAGGGCCCUUUUGGGUCUUGUAAUUGAAAUGAGUACAAUGUAAAUACCUUAACGAGGAACAAUUGGAGGGCAAGUCUGGUGCCAGCAGCCGCGGUAAUUCCAGCUCCAAUAGCGUAUAUUAAAGUUGUUGCAGUUAAAAAGCUCGUAGUUGAACCUUGGGCCUGGUUAGCCGGUCUGCUUUUUUGCAUGUACUGGAUUUAACCGGGUCUUUCCUUCUGGCUAACCUUUUGGUGAACCAGGACUUUUACUUUGAAAAAAUUAGAGUGUUCAAAGCAGGCCUUUGCUCGAAUAUAUUAGCAUGGAAUGAUAGAAUAGGACGUUAUGGUUCUAUUUUGUUGGUUUCUAGGACCAUCGUAAUGAUUAAUAGGGACGGUCGGGGGCAUCAGUAUUCAAUUGUCAGAGGUGAAAUUCUUGGAUUUAUUGAAGACUAACUACUGCGAAAGCAUUUGCCAAGGACGUUUUCAUUAAUCAAGAACGAAAGUUAGGGGAUCGAAGAUGAUCAGAUACCGUCGUAGUCUUAACCAUAAACUAUGCCGACUAGGGAUCGGGUGGUGUUCUUUUUUGACCCAC
This 638-nucleotide ribosomal RNA is filed under the name uncultured fungus. RNAcentral describes it as "SSU rRNA". It matches the Rfam family "Eukaryotic small subunit ribosomal RNA", at positions 418 to 1079 of the family's 1831-position model. Lineage: Eukaryota; Fungi. The record is from RNAcentral.